RNAcentral lists this long non-coding RNA (18494 nucleotides) under Brassica rapa (field mustard). RNAcentral's name for it is "long non-coding RNA (BRAP_LNC003294)". The record is from RNAcentral. Lineage: Eukaryota; Viridiplantae; Streptophyta; Magnoliopsida; Brassicales; Brassicaceae.
GCGCUGUUCUGGUUGAAUCUGAAUUUAAAAACAAAAAUUCGUUGGAUUGUUAGAACUCUUUUUUUUUUUUUUACGAAUUUAAAGCAUUUAAUCAUCAAAUCUUGUUAUAAAUUGCUUGAAUAAAAGUAAGUUAAGUAAAGUUCCUCUGACAUGUAUCAUAUUUUAUUAGAUAAACCAAGGAUUAUCAUAACGGUUUUAAAUCUUACUACAAGUUUGUACUUAUGUGUUGCUGGUGGAACAGGAGAAUAGUGAUGGCUGAGGGCGUUGUGUCGUUUGGAGUGGAGAAACUCUGGGAUCUCCUGAGUCGAGAAUCAGAGAGACUGCAGGGAGUUCAUGAGAAAGUUGAUGAUCUAAAAUGUCAGAUGAGAAUGUUACAGUCGUUGUUGAAAGAUGCAGAUGCCAAGAAAUAUGAGAGUGUGGUGAGAAACUUCUUGGAAGAUGUCAAAGACAUUGUUUUUGAUGCUGAAGACAUAAUCGAAUCCUUUCUUUUGAAAGAAUUGAGUAGAAACCAAAAAGGGAUCAAGGGGCGUGUGAAAAGACUUGCUUGUUUCUUAGUGGAUCGCCGAGGUCUUUCUAUGGACAUUGAAGGCAUAACUAAGAGAAUGGCCAAGGUUGUUGGGCAAAUGCAGAGCUUUGGAAUACAACAGAUCAUCUACAGAUCACCGUCUCUACAAGAGAGACAAAGACCAAGGGAGAACCGACAAACAUAUCCAAAGACAUCUCAAAAGGAUCUUGUGGGGGUGGAACAGAGUGUUAACGAAUUGGUUAGUCAUUUGGUGGAGAAUGAUAGCAUCCAAGUAGUUUCCAUAUCGGGGAUGGGUGGUAUUGGGAAAACCACUCUUGCCAGACAAGUUUUUCAUCAUGACAUUGUUCGAAGUCAUUUUGAUGGAUUCUCAUGGAUCUGCGUUUCGCAAGAUUGUAAGCGGAUGGAAAUUUGGCAAAAGUUAUUGCAAGACCUUAGACCACAUGAUAAGAGCAUCGAACAUAUGAAUGAAGAAACACUCCAGGCUGAGCUCUUUCACUUGUUGGAAACAUCUAAAUAUUUAAUUGUCAUGGAUGAUGUGUAGAAUUGUGUCAUCAAUCUUCUAAGCCUCUGAGUCCAACAGAAGGUUUGAAUAUGCUGAGUGAAGGAAAGACUCUUGGUCCAGUAGAAGGUUUGCCAAAGCUAAUAACAUACAUGUGAGAAGCACGUGAGUUGGGGCAAUAGGAAUCAUCAUCUUCUGGGUAUAUCAUCGUCAUCUUCUCCGACGGAGAGUUAGUUACAGAAACAGAGCGAGAGCUCAAGAUGAGAGAGUGAGAGCGAUUGGGUUGGUGAGAGUGAGCUAGAGAGAGAUGUGAUUCUUGGUAUAUCUAGACUCAUAGACUUGUUCUUCUUCCUCAGUCUUGUAACUCAGAUUAGGUGUAAUCGAGAGAGGAAGAAGACGAGUGAACCUCCGGUGACGUACUCUGUAAUCACAUUGAUUAUAGUGGAUUGGCUGAGAGACCGUUUCUCUCCCCGGUGAUGUAUAGCGGCUUCUCCACAUCGGAGAAGUGCGGUGAACACCGGGUAAACAAAGUCUCGUGUGUUAUUUCUUUAUGCUUGAUUCAUGAUUGAUUAGAUUCGUUUAGGCUUGUGAUGAGUAUUGAUUAAAGCCAAGAUCACAUGAUGAAUCCUCAACAAAUGGUAUCAGAGCCUCGGUUUAGGCGAUUCAAGGAUUCAUCGGAAACAGAUCAAGAUCGGUUCUGAAGUAGAAUCGAAUAAGGAUCGGAGGAAGUUUCGAUCGCAUCGUUGUUGCGAGAGUGAAGAAUCAGUAGAUGUUGCAAGAGAUGAAAUGUCAAGAGCAAAGAAAGAAGAUGAAGACGUUGGCUCGUGGUAGACGACAACGUCGGAGACGGAGGAAAGGAAUCUCACGGAGGAAGACGCAACCGGUUCAGCUAGUUUAUGGUUUGUGGAAUCAGAUGGUUUUGUAAGUUAAUCUCUCUCAUCUCUAGAGUUAUAAGCUGGUGUGAGUUGCUCUGGAUCAAAGAGACUUGCAAGAUAUGGUGUGGCGUUCACAAGAGAACGAAGAACCAUAGACUGAAGUGUAAAGAAUCAGAUAUGUGAUGUUGUUUUGCAGUUCUGGAAUUGGUUUGAUGCUGGCUGUUUGAGGUGGAGGAUCUCAGGUUAAAAUGUUAAGUCAAGAUCAGACUUAUGGCUACAUAAUCAAAGUCAGUUCAUAGUUUCCUCAGGUUCAAUUCUUGGAGACAAAUGGUCUCAGUCUGCAACAGUCACAAAGUUUUGUUGUGGUGGCUGGAUACUCAUCUACUGCAGUGUAUAAAGAAUGGAAGCUCUCUAAAUCACAAGGGCGGUAUGUUAUCUUUGCAAAGAGUGAUCAAGGCUCAGGUUUGGUGUCAAACUGUUUGUUGGUCAGCUUGUUUGUGGAAGGAAGAUGCAGCUGUGGUUUCAGGAUGUUUGGAAGAAUGGCAGUUGGUGGCAUCUAUGAAUCUCAGGUUUAAGGGACGCUUUAGAAGUGAGUUUGUAUGUGUGUCAAAGGCUGUUCAGAUACUGUUAAAGCUUUCAAGAUUCAAGUUUGAAGUUAAGUUGCAGAGAAGAAUGGUUUCUACAGGUUUUGGAACAAGACAGAUAUGUUAUUUUGAGGAGCUGGUUCAGAUUUCAGAAAGUUUGAGUUGCAGGUUCAGUCACAGAGAUUAAGGGUCAGGUUCUGGUGAAUGUAAGAAGCUCAGGUGGUAAUGAUCAAGGUCAGGAAAAUGAUCAUAAUGGAGCUUGUAGCAGCAAGGAUUGUUUCUACACAAAAGUAUCAAGGCUGUUACAUUUAAUGAAUUUCUUCAGUGCCAGUAAAGUGAUAAAACAGAUGGGAUUCUGUGGUAUAUCACCUGACGUUUUUUCACAUAAACAAACGUCACGGCUUAUUAGAAGAAUGCCUGGAGUCAUCAAGAAAGAAGCAGAAGAAGCAGGAACAUGUUAUGUUUCCAGAAGAAUGCGCCAAGAGAAAAGACAAGAAGUCUAAGAGCAAUGUGAGUAUAUGUUGGAAUAGAGUUUCUUGUGGGAUCAAAGUUGAUAACUUUGGAGGAGUAUGAGUGGAAGAGGCAGCUCGUGGUAGAGGUUUAACUGUCUCACUCAAGGCGUUUCUGCAGAGGGUUAAAAGCGAUGAUUUCUUAAAGAGAAAGAAGGCUGAUAGAAUAUCAGUGAUAAGGAGCCAAGGAGAAGAAACAAGUUUCUGGUUUUAUGGCUCAAGGAAAGGAAAGCAAGGAGUUUGUUUUGCUGGUUGUAGUUCUUUUGAACAUGGAGUUUACAAGUUCAAGUCUUUGCAGGAUGUCUCGGGUCAUUGGUGCUUGUGUUCUGUAUUUUAAAGACACACAAGAAGUUUCAGGAGAUGGAGAAAUCUGAGAGAAACUUCAAAGAAUGAUUGUGAGGACAUGUUAGGAUGAAGGGACAGCAGGAUGAAAGCACAGCAGGCGGCAGUCACUCAAGGUUGUAGCUUUCAGAGGCUAUGAAAAGAAGCUCUAUGCCAAGAUAUAAAGGCAAGAAGCAUGGUGUUACUGAUAGUAAAAUCAGUGGAGUAAAAUCAGUUUGAGAGAAUCUGGUUUCGGGUUUAUCUGUCACAGGUUCUGAUGGGUUAAAUUCAGAAGGGUCUCACAGGGUUUAAAGUGUUAUGUGAAGAUGUUUUGUUGGCAGAGACUAUAACAGGUUGGAGCACAGUCAGUUUGGUGGGAUUAAAAUCAGAUUGGAAAGCUCGGAAGAAGCUGCGACACUUGGUGGUUAUGGUAUUAGCGACUAUAGUUGAAUGGCUGCAAAAUUAAUAUAAUUUUGAUAAGAUCUGAAAUAAAAUUCAGAAGCAAGAAGCCAUGUUUACAGUCAGCUACACAAAGGGGUUAAGUGAAUCAAAGAAGAAAGUGCAGGAUGGUUAUAAGUCUGAGAAGUGAAGCUUCAUGUGAAGAGGAACACGUUGGGGUUUUGAAAGGUUAUUGUUUCAGGUGGAGUCUUGCCUCUACAAGUUUUGUAGUGCACAUCUCUAGAUGUUUUUUGACUCCAGGUGGAGCAGUGUUAUGUUUCAGACAGUGUUCUCAGGUCAACUUCAGUAUGAAAAGGUUUCAGAGGUUCUGCGGAUGAGCUUACAAGAGCUACAGAGAUUCAGGUUGGUUUUGUGAAGCAAGAAGAGUAAAAGAGAGCCAAGCCAGUGUCAGCAGGUUCAAGCUCAACAUGUUAUGGUCAGAUGGAGUAAAAGGGGUUCAGCUUGUGGUCAGAGUUGUGAAGAGGAUAUCGGCAGUGUUAGUAUGGUUUCUCCACAGGAAGCAUGGAGUAAAACGACAUCGAGGCAGAGUCACUGCAGGUAUGAUAAAUCAAUAUAUAUAAAAUACUUGUGAGGUGGUUUUUUGCAGGUAUUCACAGGGACCAGGGAGAACAGUUCAAGGUGGAGCUGUUUGAGUCAAUUACCAAGCUGAACAAAUUCAAAGAGUUCUCUAAGAGUAGCUACAAGGAGAUAAACAGCAAGGUUUGUUGGUACUGUCACAAAAGAGUACAAGAAGGAUUGAGCUACUGGAAAAUGGAGUUCUUGGUAACGUCUGGAACAGGCAGGGGCGUUUAUAUACCAAGGUCUGGUAAGGUUCGCAGGUUAGCGAAGCACAGGUUCUUUUCUACAGCAAAGGUGUCUCAGGAGUUGUCACAGGUUUUGUGAGUAUGAGGCAGGGAUAAAGAAGUCAGCAGUGGUCAGAUUGUUGUCUGAAGUUCUGUUGAGGCAGAUUUGUUUGAACUGGGUUUGAGCAGAGAUCUCUACAUCGAAAGUCUUCUUAACCAGGUUGAGUUAGGCGGCGUGUUCUGCUGGUCACAGCAGCGGUGAAGAGUGAUGUUCAGGUUGAAAGUUCAUACAGAUUGGUGUAGAGGAAAACUUCAGGAUUAGCAGAGAGUUUUUCUACUAGCUGUUGAGGUUGUCUACAAGGGUUUUUUGAGUCAAAGCGCUUCUGGUGUGAGGCAGAAAUGAUUCAAGUUCCGCAGGAGUUUUCAAGCAAGCAUCGUUUCAGGUUUUGGCAGACUAUUGGGAGACCUUAAUUGCAGUAACAAGUCAAGCAUUAUAGGCUGAUCUAUACUAGUCAAAGGAGAAGCUUAUGGAGUGUAUGUUGAGUUACUGGUGAGUGGUUUUCUCAAGUUUCCAGGUUAUGGAAAGUCCAAAGGAAGAUCAAUGGAGAAGUUUGGCGUGACACAAGUUUGUGGAGUGCUGGGAAAAGAAACUUAAGAAGGCAUGUGUGUGUUGUUGGCACAGGAAUGGGAUUGUGAUUCACAUCACAACAAGUUACAUGUCUGUUCAUUGAUGAUGAUUAAGUGGUUGAAGACUGGGAGUUGUCAAGGUUAGAGCUGGGUUUACAAGGUUCUAAGGAACAGUGGCAAGGAAGUUUUCAGGUUAUAUCAAGACAAGAUGCUGGGAGGAAACAAGUUUCAGGAAACGUUGAAGCUGAGCGGUGAAGCUCAAAGAGACUGCAAGGAGAUGCAGGAAGAUAAAGCAGAUGCGCAUGUUUGCUCAGUCACCGGAGGAAAGCUCAUGAGAAGAUUGGGCUGUAGAAGAUCAAUGCCAAGGUGGAGAUUGUAGAAUUGUGUCAUCAAUCUUCUAAGCCUCUGAGUCCAACAGAAGGUUUGAAUAUGCUGAGUGAAGGAAAGACUCUUGGUCCAGUAGAAGGUUUGCCAAAGCUAAUAACAUACAUGUGAGAAGCACGUGAGUUGGGGCAAUAGGAAUCAUCAUCUUCUGGGUAUAUCAUCGUCAUCUUCUCCGACGGAGAGUUAGUUACAGAAACAGAACGAGAGCUCAAGAUGAGAGAGUGAGAGCGAUUGGGUUGGUGAGAGUGAGCUAGAGAGAGAUGUGAUUCUUGGUAUAUCUAGACUCAUAGACUUGUUCUUCUUCCUCAGUCUUGUAACUCAGAUUAGGUGUAAUCGAGAGAGGAAGAAGACGAGUGAACCUCCGGUGACGUACUCUGUAAUCACAUUGAUUAUAGUGGAUUGGCUGAGAGACCGUUUCUCUCCCCGGUGAUGUAUAGCGGCUUCUCCACAUCGGAGAAGUGCGGUGAACACCGGGUAAACAAAGUCUCGUGUGUUAUUUCUUUAUGCUUGAUUCAUGAUUGAUUAGAUUCGUUUAGGCUUGUGAUGAGUAUUGAUUAAAGCCAAGAUCACAUGAUGAAUCCUCAACAUGAUGUAUGGAAAAAAGAAGACUGGGAUGUAAUAAAAGACGUUUCCCCCAAGAAAGAGGUGAGCUCUCUAAUUGUACAAACAUUACUCCCCAUAGUCACAUUUCAUAAAUGCCUUUUGAGUACCUGAGAUGAAACGAAGUACAAUUGCAGGUUGGAAGAUGAUUCUUACUUCACGCGAUGAACGUGUUGGUUACCAUGCAGACCCAACAUGUUUUCCCUUUAGAGCAAAAACUCUUACUCAUGAAGAAAGUUGGAAGCUAUGUGAGAGCAUAGCAUUCCCUAGAAGAGAGAUAACAGGUACGUUUUUAAUACAAGAAUCAUAUGAAUCAUUAAGGCCAAAAAGCAUGAUAUCUCUUACAUGCCUUCUUAUAAAAAAACUUGUGUAGUAAUUCCCAAAUUAUCCUCUCUGGAAUGACAUACACUAAAAACUCUAUAAAUUAAUAAUACUAAAACUAUGAAAUUUUAUUAAUUUAUAGAGUUACUAAUUUUUUCAAAGUUUCAGUUUUAGAUUUUUUUUACACUAUUUUUAUUAUAAAAACUAGGUAAGGAACCCGUGCGAUAUCGCACAUGAACUCAUUUUAUAAAAAACGUGUGUCGUAUUUUUAUAAUUGGUUUUGAAAAAAUGCAAAUAUUCAAAAUUAUCUUAUAUGCAGCUAUAUAUUGUUUAUAGAUUGAUUGUAAUAAAAUUACAAAAUAUGUCAAUACCUGUUAGUAAGGAUAUACACAUAAAAAAAUUUAUGCAUAAUUUAAAUUAUUAUCUUGAACUUAUUUUAAUAAAAUUACAAAUAUGUCACAUUGUGGAAUUUAUACUUUUGUAUAAAACAUCUUAUUGUGCUAUCAAAAAAAGUUCAUGUGACAUUAAUGUAAAACUAAAAUAAGGAGAAAAUACAUAUCUUUUGAUUUUCCAUAAAAUUAAAAAAAUAUAUAAUAUAAGUAAAUUGAGAAAUAGCCACAAACCAUAUCAAUAAAAGUAUUCAAAAUGAAAAGACACAUAGUUUCAUAUAUCAUAUAUUGUUUUACUGAAAAUAUUUGUCAAAUAACUAAUUAGUGACAAUAUUUUAUUUGUUUCAAUUAUUGUUACACCAACCAAAAUAGAACUAAUUAUAUAUUAAUUUACUUUUUAUAGUAAAUAUAAACUCUUGACUAACAAAACUUUCACUAAAAAUGACAGUAGGACAUUGUCUUCAGCCUCAUUGUCAAUUUUAUUUUCAUGUAUACUAUAUUUAAUAUCAAUUUUCUUUAAAAUAAAAUUAUCAUUUUAUGUAUUCAGAAUAACUAACAAGUUACAAUAGAUUUAACUAAUUCAGUUGGUUAUUUAAUAGAAUCUUUGAAAUAUAUUUGUUAACAUUAUAAAAGAUGAUGUAUAUGAACCAUCAUAGGGAAUCAACUUUACUCUAUAUAUAUAUAUAAUAACUUUAAUGUUCUGUUUAUAUUUUAUUAGAAUAAAUAUUGCUUACAACUGCACUUCCAUCUUCUUAAGUUUAUUCUUAUAGUUUUACAUGAUAUUUAGCUCCAACAACUUCUUGAACUACUUUCAAUUAUUUUCCGUGAUAUUUAAAUAAUUUUUUCUAUUUAAGAGACAAUAUUAGAAUUAUUAGUUUGUAGUAUAUUAAGAAAAUUUAUAUUUCUAUGUUGGUAAAAAUAGUUAUCAUUUUUAUAAAUUUAUUUACCUGCUCUAUUUUUGGCAAAAAUAUUAAGGAGAUUGAAUAUCAUAAUAAAUAUAUGUUGACUUAUGUUGAUAUGACAUUUCUCACUUAUAUUAUUUCCUUUAAUUUCCGGAAGAGUUCUUAUAAAACACCAUCACUUAUUAUAUUAAACUAACAUAAUAAUUAGAUAAAAUCAACUAAAUUGAUAAAUUAUGGAUUUAAAUCAUGAUGACUUUUGUUGUAUCAAUAAAUAAUAUUUUUGAAGUCAAGGUUGUAUUGAGAUAUAAAUACUGUAGAACUCUAUGGGUUUCUCAAUCAAAUUUCCAAGCUUAGACUAAGAUAUAAGAAUAACAAAUAGAGCUAUGCAUGUUCAUAUGUAUUUGUUCAAAAAUCUUUGAAAAUAAUUUAACAGUGAAUCUCUAUCUUUUCUAAUCUAUAGAUUGUUGUCAUUUUUUUGUGAUUUUUCAAUUCCCACAACAACUUAUAUAGAUGACUAAAGGUUACAAUGGUUGAUACCAAACAUUGCAAUGGUUAGAUAAUAGUUGCAAUAAUUAACAUCAGAAGUUACAAUGGAUUAUCACCAAAUACUACAAUCACUAACAGUUGCAAUGAUUUAUUACCAAAGAUUGCAUUGGUUCUUCACUAAAAUUAUUGCCACCAACAGUUGCAGCGAUAUCUUUAGACAUUUUGAUAACUUUUUUUAACAAAUAAAAAAAAUUAGGAUGAAAAACACAUCCUUAUACAUUUUAAGAACAUCUUUUAAACCAAUUUAAUUCCUAAAAUGAAAGUAACAUUUUUAAGAUGAAAGGAUCCAUACUUAUAUUUUUUUACAAUAUUUUUUGAAGAACGCAAUUUUUAAUAUGAAAAGACACAUUGUUAAGAUCAAAAAUUAUAACCAUUGAUAUUUAUUUGGAGAAAAUAUACAUUUUUACACAUUUUGAUAAUUUUUUUAACAAAUGAAAAUUUAGGAUGAAAAGACAUAUUUUAUACGUUUUAGGAACUUACUUUAAACCAAUGCAAUUCUUAAAGUGAAAUGACAUAUUAUUAAGAUGAAAAGUUACAUACUUAUAUAUGUGACAACAUUUUUUAAAGUAGUGUCAUUUUUAAGAUGAAAAGACACUUCGUUAGGAUGAAAAGUUACAACCUUUGACAUUUAUUUGGAGAAAAUAUACAUUUUUAGACGUUUUGACAACUUUUAUUAAGAAAUACAGUUUUUUUAGGAUUAAAAGAUACAUCUUUAUACAUUUUAACAAUUUCUUCAAAACCAAUUCGACAAUGAAAAGACACAUUGUUAAGAUGAUAAUAUUUUUACUUAUAUAUUUGACAACAUUUUUUAAAGCAAUGCCAUUUAAAUGAAAAAUAAUACUUUGUUAGGAUGAAAAAUUACAACAUUGAACAUUUAUUUUUUAACAAAUGCAAUUUGUAGGAUAAAAAGACACAUCCUUAUGCAUUUUAACAACUUCUUUUAAACCAAUGCAAUUCUUAAAAAUGAAAAGACAUACUUUUAAGAAGAAAAGAUACAUACUUGUAUUUUUUUUAGGACAUUUUUUAAUAAGAUAAAAAGACACUUUGAUAUAAUGAAAAGUUACAAUUUUUGACAUUUAUUUGGAUAAAAUACAUCUUUAGACAUUUUGACAACUUUUUUUAAUAAAUGCAAUUUGUAUGAAACUUAUACUUAUACACUUUGACAAUUUCUCUUAACCCAAUGCAAUUUUAAAAAUAAAAUAAAAUGUACUAAUAUAUUUUAACGACACUUUUAAAACAAUGCUCUUUUUAAGAUGAAAUGACACAUAAUUACAAAGAGACACUUUUUGAGAUAUUUUAAUAAUUUUUAAAAACAUUAUCUUAUAUAAUGAGAAGACACAAUUUUAAAACUAAUAUUUAUAGAAAAAACACUUAUUAGGAUAUUUUAACAAAUUUUAAACUAAUAAUUUUACUUAUAAUCUAAGAAAUUCAACCUAUAAUAGUUUUGAUCUUGAGACUUCUAGUUUACAGAUGCGUAAACCAGUAAAUAGCCAUUUAAAUUUAAUUGAAUGCAAGACAAGAUUGAUAAAAGUCAACUACUUAUGUUCGCUAAAUAUCUUGGAAAAAAGUUCUAAAUUUAAAUUGUUAUUUUCCUAUAUAUACGAAAGGAGAAUUGGGACGCAUAUAAUUAUAACAACUUUUUGGCUAUGAUAUUCUUUGUAUAAUAUGUAUAAAGACAAAAAAUGCCUUUCAUUCCACUGUUACAUUUCCACUCCCACUUACAUCGUUGAUCUUCAUUCUUUUUUUUUUUUCUAAAAUUUCUAUUGAUCCUUCUUCUCUUUCUUUUAUCCUAUGAUCAUUUACAAGUUUUAUCAAAUUCUUGAAAAGUGAUGCUUCGCACGCUGUGUAAUCAUUUGAUCCGAUAAUUGUGGCUGAUCACUUUUUUCAUAUCUUUAUUUGGAUUUACAAUUUUACUACUUUUCAAUAUAUGUGGAUUGAGAAACAGAGGAUGCGUAGACCUAUUAGAGAAGAUGAACAGUAUACGUUGCGUUGUACUAUUCCAUUUGAUAAACAUAAAAUAGUAAAAUGCAACAAGCAUUGUUAAAUCAUCUCCACGUUUUGUCCUUUCUUCCUCCUCCUCAUCCUCUUUCUUUUUCUUCUCAUCCUCCUCUUCUUCCAUCACCAUCAGUUACUACAAAAGAUUCCACAUGUAGCAUCACCACGUUCAGCUGUUUCAUCACCACCACUACAAUUGCCAUACUAUUCUAAAUGAAAUAUAGUAUAUUUUAGACCUUCAAGAUUAGGGUUUAGGUAGCUCCUUUAUGGGCGAUGGUUUGGUUUUACAAUUUGGGUUUAGGGUUUGGGUUAAGGGUUUACGGUUUGGGUUUAGGGUUUAGAGUUUGGGUUUAGGGGGGUUUUGGGUAUACGGUUUGGGUUUAGGGUUUAGACCUUCAAGGUUAGAGUUUAGGUAGCUCCGUUAUGGGCGAUGAUUUGGUUUUACAAUUUGAGUUUAGGGUUUGGGUUAAGGGUUUACGGUUUGGGUUUAGGGUUUAAAGUUUGGGUUUAGGGGGGGUUUUGGGUUUAGGGUAUACGGUUUGGGUUUAGGGUUUAGACCUUCAAGGUUAGAGUUUAGGUAGCUCCGUUAUGGGCGAUGAUUUGGUUUUACAAUUUGAGUUUAGGGUUUGGGUUAAGGGUUUACGGUUUGGGUUUACAGUUUGGGUUUAGGGGGAUUUAGGAUUUUGGUAGCUCCGUUUGGAUCUAUGGUUUGGGAUAAGAAUUUGUGUUUAGGGUUUGUAUUUAUGGUUUAGAGUUUUGGUUUAGAGUUUGGGUCAACAAUUGGUAACCAACAUCAAUUGCCAUACUAUUCUAAAUAAAAUAUAGUAUAGUUAGAGUGAAAUUAUUCGUGUGACUAUAAUAAAUAGUGUGUAGUAUAGUAUGAUAAUUUUAUUUUCUAUUGCCAUUUCAACAUCAAGCGCACGCGUCUAGAGGGAGAUUUUGGUCAUGUUUUGCGCAAAUUGUCCUAUCCAUCUUGAAUUACUGUAGAAUGACUAUAUUCUUCAUUCUUUUGCCUCUUAUGAAUAUUCAGCAAAUUUUUCCAUUACAAAACGACACAAGUGAUAAAAGAUGCUACUUUUGAUAAAUAAAUGGUCAUUAACAAAACAUAGAUGCAAAUAACUUAAAAUAAAUAAAAAAAUUGUCAGAUUUGUUUGUUGUCAAAGAAAUCGUAAGAUGUGUUUUGCCUUUAGUUUUCGUUAAGAAUUGAAUAUAUUUAAAACUCUAGACUUCUACAUCAUAUUUGUUUGUCUCUAACCAGCAAUUGAUAUGUUUCCGAGAAAUAAUAUAUAAAUAAAAAGAUCUUUUAAUGAGUUUUAUAAUCUCAGUAGUUCGCACAUCUCCAAACCAGGCAGUAGAAAACAAUGUAAAUUUACAAUUCUUGAGUGAACAAUUAUAUUAUUUUGUGAACAAUUAUAUUGACAUGGGGAUUCCUAAGUUUAAAAUGUGACACCUAUGCAGAUUUAAAUAUUCCAGUGGAAUUAAACCAUUCCCAUUAAAAAGAAAUUGAUGAUAAUUCCCAUGAGAAUAACACUCUCCAAUUAAGAGACACAUUGUUUGAUUAACUCAUGACGGUCAUCACCAACCGGUUUUCCUCUAAUGGAUUUAAUGAAUGACAGACAACCCCCUUUUUUGUACAUUGUAAUUUGGAAAGCAUUAAUUUUAGACUCUGACAAAACGCAAGAACAACAACACAUAUAAAUUAGAUAUGUUGUAACAACUAUUUAAAAAAUUGAAUGAUGGAAAUCCCAAAUUUGUUUAAAGAAAAUGACGUUGAUAGUGGUUUUUGAAAAAAAAAAAAAGGGAUUAUGAUGAACAAUAACAAUGAAAACUCAUUGUAAACACGCUUUAGAGAGCCAAACAAAUAAAUCAAUUCUGAGAUUUUGGGUGGAAAGGUAAUUUAAGAGGAGAUGGAAAACGAUAACAGGAAUGAGUCUUUAAAAACACACAUAUAUAUAUAGAUUGAUAAGGGAUGCUUCAUCUAAGAGUUGUAUUGUUUUGAGAUGGAGACUAUUCAGUGAAAAGAUGCAACGCACCGCAGUUUUAUUUUUUAUAUCAUUAAAUUCAAUCAAAUAUGACUGUUGGACUUAAAACAUUUUUCUUUUAAAAAGUUAUGAUAUCACCAGUUUUGGUAUGCUAUUAUAUAUAUAAUUUUUUUUAUAAUAAAAAGAUACAAUUUUAAAAAUUAAUAAUAUUCAGUUUGUUAUGAAAAUAUAUAAUUUUUAUAAUGAACAGACACAAUUUUCAAACUAAUACAUUUCAGUUUUUUAUGAAACAACACAACCAAAGUAGUUAUUUUGAAAAGACACAACUAUUUAGACUUUUAGAAAAUACACAACUUUUCAACAUAAUUGAGAUUCAUAACCUUUGGAAUUAUACAGGAUUGCUAUUAUUAGUAGAUAAAAUAUUUGAUUUUAUCAUAUAUAUAUAUAUUAAUUAACUUUUAGAAAUCCGACAUUUAUAUUGUUUUUGUUACACUAUUUGGUGUAUACAAAAUAUGUUUUAUAGAAUUUAAAAUGUAUUUUUAUAUAUAAUUUUACGAAAUAUUAACAAAAUAUAUUGAAAUGUUAAGAAAAAAUAGAAAUGAACUUCAUUGUGAAUAUAAAACAAAUAAUACAAUGUUUAAUGUUUGUACUUUAGUGUGUUUAUUAAUUAUAGAAUUUUUACUGCAUAUUGUUAUAAAUAUAUAUAUAUAUAUAUAUAUAUAUAUUUUAAAAACAUUUGAAAAGACUAAACACACUAUUAUUUCAAGACUCUGAUCUUAUAACGUGUGUUACUAUUUUCAGAAUUUGAUGUUGAUGAGGAACUAGAAGCCAUGGGUAAGGAAAUGGUCGCAUAUUGUGGAGGACUACCAUUAGCCAUUAAAGUGUUGGGAGGCUUGUUAGCUAAUAAAACCAUGGUUGAAGAGUGGAAAAGAGUAGAUGACAAUAUUCAAAGUCAGAUAGUUCGCAUAGAUGACAAAAGUCAAGAUUCUGUGUACCGAGUAUUGUCUAUGAGCUAUGAAGAUUUGCCAAUGCAGUUAAAGCAUUGCUUCCUCUACCUAGCUCAUUUUCCCGAAGAUUACGAGAUACAAGUGGAGAGAUUGUAUUAUUACUGGGAAGCAGAAGGAAUAAUAACGUCAAGUGGCGAUGGAGAAACCACUAGGAAAAUUGGAGAAGACUACAUAGAGGAGCUAGUAAGGAGAAAUAUGGUUAUUGGAGUAAAAGAGGAUUUGAGUUGCAGAUGGGAGUAUUGUCAAAUGCAUGACAUGAUGAGAGAAGUAUGUUUAAAUAAAGCCAAAGAAGAGAACUUUCUUCAGUUUAUCAAAGUCCCUACUUCUUCCACCUUUACCAUCAAUGCUCAUACUCCUACCAGAUCUCGCAGACUCGUAGUACACGGUGGUGGUAAUGCAUUUGAUAUGCUGGAACGUAAAAACAAUCAAAAAGCUAGAUCUGUUUUGGGGUUUGGACUCGACAGCAACUUUUGGAAGCAGUCAGGUCAAGGAUUCCAAAAUUUACUGUUACUUAGGGUCUUAGAUUUGAGUUUAGAUUAUAAAAGCGACUAUAGAAGAGGGAGAAUACCAUCAAGCAUUGGAAAGCUCAUUCAUUUGAGAUAUUUGAGCUUACACAUGGGUAGUGCAACUCAUGUACCUUCUUCUUUACGAAAUCUAAAGCUUCUAAUCUAUUUGAGUAUUUCCUCCUGGGGACUGGAAAGAGUUCAUCUGCCAAGUAUCUUUAAAGAGAUGGUAGAGUUGAGGUUCCUGCUGCUUCCCCCUUUUAUUGACGAUAAAACAAAGUUGGAAUUGGGUAAUCUAGUGAACCUGGAGUACUUGAUCUGCUUCCGAUCAGAAAACGGUAGCAUCACAGACUUCCUCCGAAUGAAAAAGCUCAGGACUCUCGAGAUAUUUCUCAAAGGCAGGUAUACUUCUGAAACUCUAGCGUCAUCUCUCUGUGAAUUAAGAAACCUGGAGGUGCUUAGGUUGAUCGAUGAGAACCGAUCCGGUGGGGCUUAUGAUGUGGAUUUCGUUUGGAAUUUCAUUCAUCUAAGGCAUUUAGAUCUGGACAUACAUAUGACAAGGCUUCCUGAUCACUCUCGAUUUCCUCCCCACCUUGCAUACAUAUCUCUACGUCACUGUGAAUUGGAGGAGGAUCCAUUGCAGAUUCUGGAAAAGUUGCUUCAUUUAAAGUCGGUUGUAUUAUGUCGAAGGGCUUUCGUGGGGAGGAAGAUGGUGUGUUCAAAUGGUGGAUUCCCUCAAUUAUGUAAUCUAGAAAUACGGUACCUAGACGACUUGGAAGAGUGGAUAGUGGAAGAAGGGUCGAUGCCAUGUCUUCGUACCUUGUCUAUAUACUAUUGUAAAAAGUUGAAGGAGCUACCGGAAGGGCUCAAGUAUAUCACUUCUUUAAAGGAACUGAUAAUCACCGAUAAGAACAAGGAGUGGAAGACGAAACUCGUACCAGGUGGGGAAAGUUACCACAAAGUCCAACACAUUCCCAGUGUUCAAUUAGACUAUCGUGGCGACGAAUAAGGAGAAUACAACCGUCUCAGGUAUAUAUACUUUUGUUUGGUAUAAUGUCAAUAUUGUUCUCCUUGAAGUUUAGUGUGGAAGUCUCAACUAUCUAACCUUUUUAUUAUUCGGUUUUCAGGUGAACCUACUCAGAAUCAGUACCCACUUAUUGAUUCUGUGAUGUGAUAUAUGUCGUUUUUGUUGUAUUGGUGUUUUAAAGUUUAUAUAUCUUGUUUGUGAUAUAUUUCGUUUUUCUGUUUGCAUGCUCAUUCACUGUAAUGCUACGUUUGAAAGACAUUUGUAUGUUGAACCGUAUCUUCUCUUCAAUGUCUCCGUUUUGUGUGCUUAGUUGACUUGUAUGGUCGGACUUGGAGAUAGAGGUCCUUUGAUAGUGAUCGCUGAACAUCAUUCUUAACAUCACUUUAUCAUUUGGUUCAACGAAGGUCGAGAUUGAGGAGUCGAGAGCUUUUACACGAAACGUCUAGUUAAUCCCUUUUUAGAGCAUCUCAAACCCACCCCUAUAUUUGCUUCUAUAUGCUAUAAUAGAGGAAAAUCUACUCCACCCCAUCUCUAUUUCUUCUUCUAAAAUAGAGAUUGCUAUUUUCUCCUAUAUUUAGAGGAAAAACUAGCAUUUCUCUAUAAUAGAGACAUACUUUUUUAUUUACACAAGAAUCCUUUAACUUUUUGUGAUUAUAAUUAAAAUACAUAUUUAUGUAGAAAUACAUGAUUUUUACAUAUAAAGCCUAAUUAUCUUUUGUUUACAUAAUAUUUUUUACAGUUAUAAGUAAAUAAAAUAAAUAAAUAAUAAUAUUAUUUUAUGUGAAAGUCUAAUUUUUAACAAAUAAUACUUAAUUUUAUAUUUAAUACUAAAAUUAUUAAUUAUAGUUUAAUUUCUAAAAAAUCUACAUAAACUUUACAUAUUGAUAACAUAUUUAUUUAAAUAUUAAUUAAUACAACAUAUUAAAACGCCUUAAUAUUAUGGUAAAUUACUUCCAGAUCUCCAUAAUGAUGGUUAGAUAAUGUAUACUUUGUUUUACUAUUUUUUUGUUUAAUGUUUUUUGUAACAAACUGUUUAAAUUAAAUAAUAUUGCAUUUUUAUGAAAAAAAAUCUAAAUGAUAUAAUGAAUGGGUUAAUUUUCAAUAUUUAUAAGUUAAAAGGUGUUAAUUGUAAAAUUUUAAAAGAAUCUCUUAAGAAUAUUUCUUUUUAAAAGAUAAAAUAGAAGAAUACAUUGGAAAGAAAUCCACAUCUAUUAUAGAGUUACUCUAUUAUAAAGGAAAAAAAUAGAAAAAUACAUUGGAGAUGGUCUUACAGAUAUACAACCUUAGGAGUUUAUUGAAACCAAAGCAAACUCAGCACAAUGGGACUCCUUACAGUUGAUACUACAAAGAGAUUAUUGAAUCAAAUGAAAUGAAUGAAUGAAUUUAGGAAAGUUUGUUACAAGAAGUAUAUAUAUACACGGUUAAGUUAUAGGAAACUUAAACCAUGUUGGUUAUCUAGUAAACCGAUAUAGUAUAUUGAUGGUUUAUGAUGAACUCGGUCUGGAUCAUAAUAUCAGAUCACGAGUCUCUACCAAACAAAGAGUCCUUUCGAUCUCUGCAUGUUUGUAUUGACUUUAAGGGGGUGUUAAUGGGACUCGAAGCGAAUCCAAAACGGGUGAUCCGUGCGUUUCAGACAUCAAUCGCCAAACCUCACUUUUCCAGACCGAACCGAACCGAAUCGACCCUGAGUUUUCCAAAUUUUAAGUAACUGCAUAAACCGGUUAAUUCUCAUCGACUCCUGUAAUUCGUCUUUCACUACCAAACCGGACAUAUUGAUGGUUUAAUGAGCUCGGUCAUGAGUCUUUCUGCCAAACAAAGAGUCCUUUCGAUCUCUGCAAAAUUUGUUUUUGACUUAGGGGAAGUCUACUAGUUGAAGCGAAGAAUCCAAAACGCGGUGAUCCGUGCGUUUUCAGACAUCAAUCGCCAAACGUAUGCAUAACUGGGUUAGAGCUUCCUCUUCCGAUUUCACCGGAACUCCUUUUUUUUUUUUUUUUUUUUAAAUAUAUAUAUUAGAUUAAAAUAUCAACCCGAAAAACGGGAACCGGAACAAGACCUCCGGCUAGUCGUCGAAUAAACAGUAAAUCUCACAAAUAGAUUAGGCUUAUCACUAUUACACAAGGAGAGAACAGCAUAAAAACAGCGGGAGGGAAAAAACCUAAGGUUCGGGGAUCCGUUACCGGUUCCCGUCAUCACCAGAAGUCCGCGGCCAACGACGCCGACCAAAUCGAAAUUUAGACGACCACUGCAAAGAUACUUUCUCUCAAACCAGCGCCGACACACAGCUGCUCGAUCCACACGACACUCUCUUUCUCUUACCGACUAUCAAAAAAUGGAAAUCGAAACAGACCAACUAGUUAAGGGGAACCGCCAUCCUCAACAAGUCCGUCUCUCUUGGCAGACCCUGACCAGUACGGAGAUACGGAGAGGUCGUAUUCGACACACUAACCCGAGACUUGAACUUGAUUUAUAGAUAGGGGGAGUGAAGAGAUAACCUGAAGGCUUUCUAGAACCGAAACAGAGACGCUUCGGCCAAAAGAAGCCGUAAAACGGGCUGAGAUGUGGCUGGCUAAAAACACGCUGAGACGAGCACCUGCAAGCCAUUGAUGGACUCCAACUUGCCGAGAAGAUCAAAGACCCACAAGGCACUGGGAUAGCCGGAGACCAAACGUGCCGUCACGGAGAGGAAAAUGAACCUGCAGAGACCACCUGAAGGUCCAACCAUCUCACACGCAUCACCUCUAAAAACUAGAGGAUGAAUCAAAAGGCUAGGCUGAAGCAACAACCGGUGACAGGACGGAGUUGCAGAUACAAAGAAGAACCGGCUCGAGAAACCCAAAACAGAAGGUGCACAGUUCCGAGAAGGGCUCUCUGCUGUUUAAACCGAAGGCUGGAGGAGACAAAGACCGAGGAACACCACCGGAUCUCCGACGCCUGAGCAUAGACAACUCCACGCGUCAAGAGAGCCAAAGGUCUUCACGCGCCAUCGAGGAAACUUGCAUCUGACACCGCCAGAGAAGAGACCACCGCUGCACGUCUAGAAGUCGAGGACCUCCGAGGCACAUCUUGAAAGGGGUUGAGACCGAGUCCAAAGCCGAGACACCAAGGCGACAAACUAACGGAGACAACCGCCUCUCCACACCGACGAAAGGACAGAUCCGAGUCGAGUGAGACUCUUCCAAAGCCCACGCGCCACCAACUCGCGGAAGUAACCGAUGAAGCAAGACAGAUCUGGGAAAAACGCUCAUCGGUACUCACCACCCAAAAUCCGACUCUCCCCUUACCAAAACGCCUUGCUGCCUCAUCUUGACACCGGGGAAGGCCACCAUAGACUAGAUCUGUCACCGAGCUCCAGAUCCAGAGAGCCAGCUUCCGGCAGAGCUCCCUAGGGCUUCGACAUAUCAGCUGCAGGACGUAGAGCGAGGGGAAAGCAAAGAAGAAAAGAGGAAGGGUUAAGAGAGAGCCACCGGCGACGGCGCCGAGGCCACCGUGCCGGAGGGGAGGAGAUGAUUUUUUUUUUGUUUUGUGUCGAGAGAGAAAAAGUAGAGAGAGAGAGUUUUUUUGGAGGGUGAAGUUAGAAUAAGAGUUUUUUUCAUUCAAUUUCCGAGAGAGAAAAAGUAGAGAGAGGAUUUCACCGGAACUCCUCCACAGCCUAGGAG